AAUUGNACGGGGGUCCGCACNANCGGUGGAGCAUGNGGUUUAAUUCNGAUNAUACGCGAGGGAACCUUACANGGNCUCGAACGCUNCUUNAUCGGUNUNGAAAGGGAUNUUUCCUUCGGGACAAGUAGUGAGGUGCUGCAUGGUUGUCGUCAGCUCGUGCCGUGAGGUGUUGGGUUAAGUCCCGCAACGAGCGCAACCCCUAUCUUUAGUUGCCAACACGUAAUGGUGGGGACUCUAAAGAGACUGCCUCCGUAAGGAGUGAGGAAGGAAGGGAUGACGUCAAAUCAUCAUGGCCUUUAUGCCCAGGGCUACACACGUGCUACAAUGGCACCUACAGAGGGGAGCAAUACUGCGAAGUGGAGCGAAUCUCAGAAAGGGUGUCCCAGUUCGGAUUGAAGUCUGCAACUCGGCUUCAUGAAGUUGGAAUCGCUAGUAAUCGCGCAUCAGCCAUGGCGCGGUGAAUACGUUCCCGGACCUUGUACACACCNCCCGUCAAGCCAUGGGAGUCGGGGGUGCCUGAAGAUGGUGAUCCUGAAUGAGGGAGGCUAUACUANGGGUAAAANCUGGUAACCUACGGANUAAGUCGUAACCAAGGUAACCAAC
Molecule: ribosomal RNA, 603 nt
Filed under: uncultured Bacteroidota bacterium
Lineage: Bacteria; Pseudomonadati; Bacteroidota
Description: uncultured Bacteroidetes bacterium partial 16S ribosomal RNA
Rfam family: Bacterial small subunit ribosomal RNA
Source: RNAcentral